Molecule: ribosomal RNA, 255 nt
Filed under: uncultured bacterium
Lineage: Bacteria
Description: partial 16S ribosomal RNA
Rfam family: Bacterial small subunit ribosomal RNA
Source: RNAcentral
UACGGGGGGAGCAAGCGUUGUUCGGAUUUACUGGGCGUAAAGGGCGCGUAGGCGGCCACCGCAAGUCGACUGUGAAAUCUCCGGGCUUAACCCGGAAGGUCAGCCGAUACUGCGGGGCUAGAGUGCAGAAGGGGCAACUGGAAUUCUCGGUGUAGCGGUGAAAUGCGUAGAUAUCGAGAGGAACACCUGCGGCGAAGGCGGGUUGCUGGGCUGACACGUGACGCUGGAGGCGCGAAAGCUAGGGGAGCGAACGGG